RNAcentral lists this long non-coding RNA (3563 nucleotides) under Homo sapiens (human). Its description in RNAcentral is "HSALNT0351995". The record is from RNAcentral. Lineage: Eukaryota; Metazoa; Chordata; Mammalia; Primates; Hominidae.
UCUUAUCCUGUGAGAUGGAAAGAAAAAAAGCCAAGAAUAAAUACAAAUUAAAGCAAGCAAGUCUAAAAUAAGAGAAUUAACAUUAUUCUGGGAAGUAGAAGACAAAGUACUUCUGCUAGGAAUGGGAAGACCAAAUAUGGACUGGAGUAUUUGAAAACUCGGUGGAUAUUUGGAAUAUCUGUUGUGGACAAAAAAGAGACAGAAAAAAGGAAGAGAUCAAAAAGUCAAGUAAUUUGAAGUGAUUAUAGGGAAAAGUGAUCUGGACACACAGUUUGUGUCAUUCACAAAAGCAUCUGACCAAGAGAGUAAACUCUGCCCUGUGGUCAACAGUUACUAUUAAAAUUUCAUCAUUCAGAUUCAGGGCUUAUUUCUAGUUGAUACAAAAGUGGAACAUUGCCCUACAUAAUGUUAUACUUUUUGUUAUUCAGAAAUGUUGAAGUUUCUAUGCAUGAGGUUUUUGUUAUUUGACAUAAUUAUUUAUUUCACUCAUUGUGUUUAUCUUAUCCAGAUUAGAUAGAAAUUAACCAAUUUUAACUUUCUGUCUGUUCUGUAUGUUUUAGUAACAAGUAAUUCAGGAGUGCAUGCAAAUGCAACAUGAAAUGAACAGACGAUAAAAUAGAGUAUAUCUGCAUAAAGACUUUUCAUAUGUUAUAAUAAACAGUAUCAAAAACAUUAUUUGUCUUAAACUGUUUAAAAAAUGCCAGUAUAAGUCAUUUUUAACCUAGUAUCAAAAUCGUAAUCAUGUGAAAAGUAAAUAUUUCUUUAAGUUUUGUAAAAUAUUUGAUGUAGAAUAUUUAGCUCCAAAUUAAUUAGGAGAAUUUCAUAGUGUCUUAUAAUUAAGCUGCCCUUAAAUACACCUGAACCUUCAUGCAAACGUCUGUGGUUAUUUGUCUCCACAUGUUUCAGCAGAUGAGGUGAUUUGAAUGCAGCAAAAAAUUUAAUAGCUUAAGUUGAAACAGGAAUUAUCCUAAGGGAAUCUGUAGAAAUGCAUUCAAGAGCAGAUGAGCUAUAUCUAUUUCUUUCAUGCUUUGGUGUAGUAAGUAAUUGUUCAUAGCCAAACGCUUUACGAAGAUAAAUGAUUGAUAUAAUGAAUGACCCGAAGAUGCCCAAGAGCACAUGAAAACAGAAAUGCCUUUGUUCUGAAGGAGAAUGUCUUAGUAUAGUUAUAAAUUGAAUGUAAAAAUUGUGGCUGAAAUUAUUCUAAAAAUCACAAGAAGCUGCAUUUAAACUGUGCUAUGGCAUCUAUUCAAAAGAUUUGAAACCAUUUGUUUUCUGAAUUGCACCCAACAUAAAGCUUUCUCACACAGAACAAAACAGAAGUGAGCAUCAGUCACACUUCCAACAUGCAUACAUUUUGCUCUAAAGGAACAGCUGUUACUUGAUGAAAAGUCGAUGAAAGAUGCCCAACAUUUGUUUUUAAAAAGUUAUCACCCAAACAAGAAUUGUUUGGAACCAGAUGCUAAAAUCGAGAGUGGUCUGUUUAUUUCAGUUCAGAGUGUUAUAAAAAUGUUAAUAAGGUAUUUUUAUGUCUAUUACCCAGCUAUAUUUGACUUUCUAAUGUGCUUUUUGUUAUAAUUGGCUGUUGUUUCUAUAGGCUGGCAUUAUUGGCAUUAGAUCACUGAAGAGUAAAUAAAGUGAGCAAGAAUACUCUCUUGUCACCAGAUUACUGAGGUGUACUGGAGACUCAGCUAGCAAAAAAGAGAAGCAGCUGAACAUCAAAAGAGAAGCAGCAGCUGGGCAUCAGAGACUACGGUUGGACGUUGGAGAGAAGCAGCUUGAUUUCAGAGAGACAGCUUGACAGUGCAACUUUGGAGAAGAGUCCAGCCAGAAACCUUCCUGCUACAUCUCCUUCCCAGCUGCCCUUCCUGCUGAGAGCCACUUUCCUUGGCAAUAAAAUCCUCUGCAUUUACCAUCCUUCAAUUCGUUUCUGUGAGCUGAUUUUUUCCUGGAUGCCAAACAAGAGCUCAGGAGUGAGUGUGGAUACAAAAAGGCAUGCUGAGCUGCUAACACUUCAGCUGUCUGAAGACGGCAGAGCUAAAGGAGCACUGUAAUAUGCCCACUGGGGCUUCAGGAAUCACAGGCACCCCCCUAACCCCAGGGGCUGCUAUGGGGCCCACAUGGAGUUUGCUCCUGCCAACACCCCAAAGCUCUCUUCCUGGCUCCUGUACCUGCUCACCUGCAUGCUCUCUCCUGCAAGAGGUGGAACACAGCAGGUCAGAGUGGGAACAAUCAUGAAGUUUAAGAAGAAAGAAUACUGUCAGAAAAGAGGCAAUUUUUUUUAUAUUUAAAAAGUUCCCUUUUUCCAGUCUAUUCAUUUUUAUGCAUCAACUCUCAUUUUAUCUUGACAAUUUCAUAAUAACUAUAUUUACCUUUAUUUUUUAUCCAUAUGCAUUUCAUUUAAAAGUGAAAACUUUCACUCAAAAUGUAAAAAGAACUUAUAGAAUUUGCCUCCAAAGAGCUCUACUAGUCUGUCUUUCCUAUUUCAUCCAAUGUUACGACUACAAUUCCCAUCUAUCAAACACAGCAGUCAAUUGGUAAGUCAUUUAUGUCUCUUUUUAUACUAUUUUUCAUGAAGUUUCUUUAUUUUCCAGUUCUAUUGUAUGUCACCUCAAAUAUCCAUACAACACAUUAUUUUAAUCUCCUUCCCUCUAAGCAUUCCUGUUCCACUUAAUCUAACACAAUGUUCUCAAAGAUAUGACAAAGUGCAACUCUGUUAAAAAAGCUUCAAAGACUUUCCACUGAACUGAACAGAAUUAGAAUAGAUGAUUAUUUCAGUCAUGUGUUGGUAUAUAACAAAAUACCCCAAUCACCUAUUCUUCCUCCUCUUAAAGUCAAUGUAUUAUUAAAACGUCCAACUUCCUUUUAUGAAAUAUUUCACACAUACCCAAAACUGAAAAAUAAUUGAUACAGCAACAUAACCAGAAACAAGAUUAUAAGAAAUUCUACAAGGGAUAACUACAGGCUAAAAUUGUUUAGCAUCCCCUUGUAUAUUUCUCUAUUUUUAAGUACAGGUCUGUGUAUAGAAUAUUUUAUACCGUAUAUGGUAGUGUUUGUAUCUUCAAAUUUAAAUAAGAUGUUAUUGUUUUCUCUGUAUUAUUUCAACACAUGCUUUAUAAUCUCACUAUGAUAUUUUUGAGAACCAUUCCAGCUGAUACUUGGGUAUCUGUUUUUGUUUAAUUUCUAUAUGGGAUUUCAUUAUAUAUAUAAUAUAAAGCUAUCAAUUUUCAUAUCAGGAAAUAUUGGCAUUUUUAUAUUUACCAUUGUAAAUGUUAAAAACAAAGCUACAAUAAAUACUUAUUGUUUUGUUGUUUAUAUAUAUUAGAAUUUUCAUAGGAUACACAUAGAGCAGGGAAAUUUUACAACUUUGGGCACUUUCAUCCUUACAUUGUCAAGUAGCUUUCCAAAGUCGUUGUAUGAAUUUAUCUUCCCACUAUAUAAUUGUUAGAGUUCCUGUUUUCUAAUAGCCUCAUCAAAGAGGAGAAUUUCUCAAGUAUUAAGCAGUAAAGUAAAAAAAAAGUCAUCGUUCUACAAAUUCAAUUUUACUAAAUAAAAUAUAUUUUAUA